UACAGAGGGUGCGAGCGUUGUUCGGAAUUAUUGGGCGUAAAGGGCGCGUAGGCGGUGCGGUAAAUCACCUGUGAAAUCUCCUGGCUCAACUAAAAGCUUACAAGCGAAACUGCCGUGCUGAAGUGUGGGAGAGGUGCAUGGAAUUCCCGAUAUAGCGGUGAAAUGCGUAGAUAUCGAGAGGAACACCUAUGGCGAAAGCGGCGCACUGAACCACAACUGACGCUGAGGCGCGAAAGCUAAAAGAGCAAACAGG
Molecule: ribosomal RNA, 253 nt
Filed under: uncultured bacterium
Lineage: Bacteria
Description: partial 16S ribosomal RNA
Rfam family: Bacterial small subunit ribosomal RNA
Source: RNAcentral